CAACCUAAUAAUCUGCAUUUGCCUGGCGAGGAGAGGGGCGCGUGGUCCGGGUCUUCAUCUGGCCGUGCUGGCACCCGCGGCCUGGCCCGCAUUCGCUUCCGGUCUUCAGUCUGUGCUCCAUCAAGGGUGUUCUUUCAAGGUCACACUUUCCUUUCUUCCAACCCUGAGGCUCUUCAGGCCUGGCUUGCUGUCAGCGGACUGUGGUGGCCUUGAAAAGGAAACGUUAUUCUGCUGCUCCUGCGCCACAUUGGAGACAUUAAGAGCAGGAAAAGCUGAACGGGGCUCUCUAGGGACCUUCACUCCAGCAGGCUGCCUUCAUUUUGCGGACUAUGGACACAAGCAAAUCCCUCAGGUACCAGGGAUCUGUUCUCCGUCUCCCUCAUUGCACUUGGAUCAACCCUGCAAGGCUGCCUCUGCCCUGUGUGCUGAAACACCGCCCGGCCGUUUCUUCCCCUGCAUCUGUGCCUCCCUGGGCUGCGCAGAAUACAGGCCCCUCCUUCCCAGGGAUCCACACGAGCCUCACAUUCUUUGCUUUCUCUCUAACUUUCUUCCUUUCUCUCCAGGUUUGGGAAAACUUCAUAUAAUCUUUGUAAGAGUAGCUGAGCAGGA
This 609-nucleotide long non-coding RNA is filed under the name Homo sapiens (human). Its description in RNAcentral is "HSALNT0082052". The record is from RNAcentral. Lineage: Eukaryota; Metazoa; Chordata; Mammalia; Primates; Hominidae.